CCUUCGAUAGCUCAGUUGGUAGAGCGGUGGACUGUAGACUGUAAAUAAUUGAUAUCCAUAGGUCGCUGGUUCAAAUCCGGCUCGAAGGA
RNAcentral lists this transfer RNA (89 nucleotides) under Papilio machaon (common yellow swallowtail). It matches the Rfam family "tRNA". Rfam says of the family: Transfer RNA (tRNA) molecules are approximately 80 nucleotides in length. Their secondary structure includes four short double-helical elements and three loops (D, anti-codon, and T loops). Further hydrogen bonds mediate the characteristic L-shaped molecular structure. tRNAs have two regions of fundamental functional importance: the anti-codon, which is responsible for specific mRNA codon recognition, and the 3' end, to which the tRNAs corresponding amino acid is attached (by aminoacyl-tRNA synthetases). tRNAs cope with the degeneracy of the genetic code in two manners: having more than one tRNA (with a specific anti-codon) for a particular amino acid; and 'wobble' base-pairing, i.e. permitting non-standard base-pairing at the 3rd anti-codon position. The record is from Rfam by way of RNAcentral. Lineage: Eukaryota; Metazoa; Arthropoda; Insecta; Lepidoptera; Papilionidae.